AGUCUGGCGGGAGCCGUCCCUGGAUGGGGGUCACUAGCCUCCCCAUUGUGACUCGUUUGAGCUCUUAGCCAGGCGUGUAGUCUGGCGGGAGCCGUCGCGGCUGGCUCGGCAGCUCCAGGCUAUUCCGAGGAACAGUCUUCAGAGAGCCUGGGGUGCUGAUGGGGAAAAGCUGUUGCUGAGAUUUGACAAGUUUGGUCCUGAGAUGUCAGAAAGGAUUUCAGCUCUUCUGCCACCCCAAGGACGGUGGCGCGUAAAUCACAGUGAGCUGGCUUAUGUCAGGUCAACUGUGGAAUUUGAUCCUAGCGCAUUGCUCCCUCCUCUUCCUUGCCUGCGUCUCUCCCUCUCUCAGCUCUAGUUUGAGAUCAGCACAGAUUCCCUGGGUGAUUUUUGAGAAAACUGCCUCCUCUUUAGGACUUGGCAUCCCCUAACCUGCAUCAGGAAAGGGUGGCGACAGAUACUCUCACACCCAGGGAGGCUGCAAGGCCCACCCUCUACCCUCCACCUGGGUUCUCUGGCGUCGAGACUUGUGCCCUACAGUUCUGGGCCGUUGGGGUGAUGUCCCAGUGGGACCAGGGUGAGGGUGCAGGUAUCUGAGGGAGUAGUAGGACCAGAACCUCUAACCUUAGGGAGGCUUCCUGGGAGCCAAGCUUGGUGACUUAGAAUGUGAAUGUCUGACCCAUAUCCCACUACCUUUUGGUGGGUGCUGCAGAGGACAAUGGAGAGAGAGUCAACUCUGAAGAGUGGUCUUGUGGAAGAGGCAGCUGGCUGGUUCAGUGUGGCACUGGCAGCCUCCCUAAGGUUCCCAGGUAGAAGUUUCUGACAGGUAGAUUUCAGCUGUGUUUAAGGAAGAACUUUGAAGUUGUCAGAAUGAGCGGUCUUGUGAUAGUGAGCUCCCUGUCUCCAGAGGCAUGCAAGCAGGACACUUUCACAUAUGCAUUCAAGAUGACCUAUGCAAGGCGUUGUGCUAAGUGCUAGGAGUGCAGAGGAGAACGAGACCCAGUGGGGAAACAGGCACUUGCAAUGCUGCUAGGACAAUGAAUCCAGGCAGUGAUCCACCAAUGAUAACUAACAUCAUAAAAAGAUACAUGGCCGGAUAUGAUGUUCCUUCUGACGGAAGACCACAACACCUGCUGAAAAAUCAAAUCUGAAUCGGAUCAAGCCUCUAGAGACUGACCCUGCUUAUUUCUGUGAACCAACCAGUGAUCUCUGGCUACUGCUCAGAAGAAACAGAGGGUUUGACACAGACAAGCAAGGUGAAGAUGGUGGAGCCACAAUGUGGAAGGAGGUUGGAUCCCUGAAUCACCACUGGGAAGAGAGUCACCUGCUAAUCAAAAACAUGGUUUUGGAUUUUACCUGAAAACUUAUAAACUUCUAUCAUAUUUGACCCAUUGUC
Molecule: long non-coding RNA, 1393 nt
Organism: Homo sapiens (human)
Lineage: Eukaryota; Metazoa; Chordata; Mammalia; Primates; Hominidae
Product: long intergenic non-protein coding RNA 642
Source: Ensembl